AUAAAUCGUGUGCUUAACUAUAAAGGACUUUUUCCAGAAUUGACCUAUAACUUAAACUCAAACACAAAACAAACCUCCAUUUUUUUGAAAAUUGGUUUUGCCUUAUUCACCCCACAAGUUCAUAUAAUUUACGAAAAUGCCAUCAAUUUUUUUUUUCUUUUUUUUCAAAAAUGACAUUUUUACUCUCUCACCCUCAUCAUCUUCAA
This 206-nucleotide long non-coding RNA is filed under the name Brassica napus (rape). RNAcentral's name for it is "long non-coding RNA (BNAP_LNC018717)". Lineage: Eukaryota; Viridiplantae; Streptophyta; Magnoliopsida; Brassicales; Brassicaceae. The record is from RNAcentral.